This is a long non-coding RNA of Acipenser ruthenus (sterlet), 8005 nucleotides long. RefSeq lists it as uncharacterized. The transcript is spliced from 13 exons. The record is from RefSeq and is a predicted model, not a curated record. NCBI's taxonomy places the organism in Eukaryota, Metazoa, Chordata, Actinopteri, Acipenseriformes, Acipenseridae.
CAAAGAGGUGGUUGCUUCCGGGUCAUGCUGCAGCUUUUCCCAAAUAAACAUAACGUUGUAGCGAAAUAAACACGCACUAUUUCAGUCUCCUGAGUAGGGGUACACAAAGACCUUCUCAGGGAUGGCAUAGGGACAGGACAGUGAGGUUAAAUAAAUAAAUAAAAAUAUUGAUUAAAAUUGUGUUUGAUUAAUUUUAAAACGUGUAUACAAGUUAAGCAUAUCGGUCUGUGCAAACAGGAGAAAGUGUUGAAAUCAUUGGGUGCGCAUUACGUGUGGUGUUUUAUAUUAAUAUAGCAAGCUCAGAUCAGGCUAUUUCUUUCCCUAGCUUCGAUUGCAGCACGCUUUAUAUUACAUACCCAGGCCAUACAGCAACACAGUGUAUAUUUAAAAAACACGUUGCAAUAUAUGAAUCACUAUAUUAUUAUUAUUAUUAUUAUUAUUAUUAUUAUUAUUAUUAUUAUUAUUAUUAUUAUAUGAUAGCAACAGAACCUGUUUUUCUAUCACAACGACAGCUCUGUGACACCAACUUCAGGCAGUGGUGGCUGUGGACAGCAAUUGGAUCACGUAAUUUGUCACGUCUCUUUAAUAUAAAAAAAAAAAAACCGAGAAACAGAAUCAGGCUCAAGAUAUGAAGUUAAAACAAGUUACAUUGUUUUUUUUAAUUGACAGCUUUUUUGAGUUUAAUGAGGAAACGGAAUCGGCUAUAAAAUAAGUUUAAAAAUAACCCCCAAAACUUCAAGCGCUACUUAUUAUAGACACUAUACAGCUAGAGAAAUAAAACUGUUUCAGUUACCUUUUCUUUUUUUUUGAAAAGUGUGUAUUUGGAAAGUCAAUGCUCAAGGUGUUAUAUAUGUUCUGCUUUAGUGGACUUUAAAACACUGUGCUUUGCUGCAUGUAGAGAAUACUAAACUUCCAAAGCUUGUCUGAUCAUAAUCACUGUAAUACUUCGGUAUAUGUGUCCUGUCCGACAGGUGGAGAAGGCAGGGCAGGUUUACCUGCUGAUGAAAAAGGAGUAUCGGAUCCCCGGAACGUCAGGUUAGCCUGGUUCCUUAGCAACCUCGACCAAGUCAUUCGCCCCACACUCAAGGCUGAUCUGCUCUCUAAAUUCAGGGAAGGAUGACGAUGAGGUGCCCCAGUAUCUCCAGCUACACCAGAUGGUUGUGAGAAAGAUUGGGGAGAUCUGCCGUGUUGUGAACCAGCGCUUGCUGCUUCAAGAUCUCCAUGACAGGCACGUCUGUAACUCUUUGCUGGUGGCAGAGAGUGAGGAAGACACCUACAGGAAGCAAACAGCCACCGCUGACGAUUAUUCAGCGGACGAGAGUUACCAGCAUAGAGAUUACCUGGCAGCCACUAUGCAGUUCAUCCCAGGUCACUUUGCCUGCGAGGAUGUGUGGAGCACCAUCAUUUACAUUCAUCCACGACUCAAAAUGGGCCCCAACAUGGGCAUCAGUCGAGGUUGUCGGAAACGGCGUUCAGUGGGAAGUUUUCAGAGUUGGAUGGCAACCCCCCACCUUCGUCUCGCUCGCUGGCUCUGACACGCAGCCAGGAGCCCCUCUACUCAGAAGAUCUCUCGUGCUCCCGAUUCUCCCUGGAGAUGAUCUCCCCCAGGAGUGUGAAGGGGUCCAGGCCCGUGGGACAGGUGUACAAACACAUCCUGCUGAUGGUGCACGGAGUGGAGCAGGCUGGACCAGAGAUCACAGACGAGCUGUUGAAGGUUCUUCGAAAGCGUUUGGACGAGGCGACGCUUGACAUUAUCACUGUGAUCUUAGUCAGGAAUUGCAAACUAACUGACACCUGCGGACAUGGAGUUCAUCCAGCCUCCUGGCUCCCCAGCUACUGAAGUGGUCGAGUUCACCCUCCCGCAAUACUCCCUGCCUUGGCUACAGGCUGUGGCUCACUACCUCCGGCAAAACCUGCUGAUCUUCCUGCACAUCCCCAAGUACACUGAAAGCAACAUGGAGCACCACUUUAAGCACUAUUUUCUUCAUAGCAGCGGUUUGCCCGAUUCUGAUAUCUACCUUUAUAACAAGCCUGGAGGCCAUGGAACAGGGGGGAAAGGCUCUUGGACUUGGGUUCGUUUCGAUGUCUGGGAGCAGGGGAAUGUCAGCCCCCUGCAACUUACUGAUAAGUUGCAGAGUGCUCUGCGCCAUGCCCUUUGUGAUGUCAUCAUGGAGUUCAGGAUGCUACCCAAUCCCCUCUGCGUGGAAUCGUAUUGUCCAAUCAUAGCAACUGACCACAGCGAUAGCACCAAUGGUAGGGGAAGAGUGUCACUUCGAUAAACUUACAUUAUUUGCAUGAUUAAACUCCCGUAAAGGAUGACGUAAAACAGCAGAGCUUCUGGGACAUUCUGGUAAGUUUACAGGGAGUCAGGGGUAAUGUCUAUUGGGGUGCUGCUCUAAUUUCUAUCAAUGAUACCUGCAGUUGAGUUGUGACAAUGACAGGUUCCCUCACAGCCACUGCCUGUCAGUCCUUGCAUCACCGACUUGAAUCCUCAGCAGGAACUUGAAUUGAAUUUUCUGCAUUAGAGAGCAGUCUCCUUAAAGUUAUAAUAAUUAGUGCAAUAAUACCUUGCAGCAUUGCUCCUGGUUGUGCUGCUGCUGUUGGAGGUUCAAGGGUAAAAGAACCAUAAUAAAAAUGCCAGUGUCCUGCAGAGUAAGCCAGAACCCUCAGAGCUGGGGUCUCCUAAGACAACAGACGACAUUAUCUGGGAUCGGGCAGAAGACAGCCGAACAACCCGUCAACGACAGAAAACCGAGAAUGUGAAGCAGCCCUGGAGCCAGGAGAGAGCAGCUGCUGCGGAAAUGGAACAGGCGCAGAGGCAAGCAGCCUCACAGAGGUCCUCACUUCCUUCACAGGGUCUGGAAUAGGGGCAGGGAACACCAGAUACCACUCCCCACAGGGCAGGCUGACCGUGGGCAAGUAAAGAACAGGGGUGAAUUGAGAGCCUGACACAUUUACCCACAAUGCACUCACAACAUUCUUUUAAUAUCUAAUUCUGAACAACAAAAUCCAACCUUUGGAGGCCUCACAAUCAAACAUUCCAUAGUAGAUAAAUAAGCCAUAAGUAUUAAUGCUGAAGAUGAGGAUUAGAGCUUGCAUAUGAAGUACUGUAUAGGCUUCUGUUAACCCUUUCAGGACCAGGCAUUUUUCAGUGGGAUGCUCCCCCAGUGCUUUUUUUAUUGUGUUUACACGAUCGCGGCCCUAGAAGCCCACUUUAGUAUGAUCGUGUUAACACGAUCCCAGUCCUUAAAGGGUUAAGCAAAAAAAUGCUAAAAAGUAGACAUUUUAGUACAUUUAGAGUUAUUUUAAAAAUGUUAUUUUUGUAAGCAUCUUUGGUGAUGAGCAACUAUUAGCUUUCACAUUUUAUUGUCCCAUUUGUUUAGUUUGCUUGACUAUUAGUUUUGUACAGAGGUAUUGUGGUUUAGUGCUAAGAGCUGGUUCUUUUUGAUCCCACAGGAAGUGUAUCACCCAACUAGAAGAGGAGGUAGGCAGCCUGCACACUCUGUUCCAGCUAGAAAUUGUCUUAUUUUGAAUUGUUCGUUUUGUUCAUUUGUCUGUGGCUUUCAGUCCCCAUGAGAGGUCCACCUUAAGAACGUAAGGUCAAGGGAGAGGGCAGCAACCUGCAGGUUUCCUGGUGGCAGGGCAUCUGUGUGACAUAGACAAGGCCUCUCCCGCAGCACUGAGUGACAGAAGUGACAGUGACAAGCAGCUGUCAAGUGCCGUGGGAUUCCAUUAAGGAUGGUUUGUGAGCAUUUCCAGCCAAACGCAGCAUGGACCUGUUAUAUAUAUAUAAUUUUUUUUUACAUAUUCAGCUGAACCUAUUUAAAGGUGAAGGACCACCAUGGCAUAUCUUGCUCUACAAAAUAAAUUAACAUUUUUGGUGGAAAUACUGCCUAUUUCUACUUGUGGUGUUCCUUUUGUAUACACUUUAUUGUUCUUUGCACUCUGCUCUCCUUGUGAAAUAUUCUUCACUGUUUCCAUGUCUUUCUCUUCAUAUCUAUAAUUCUAUUUGAUACAAGAGGAAGGCCCUAGCAUGGUGAAAUAUUUCUUACUUCAUUCUUUUCCCAAACUGUUUGGGAACAGAAAGAUUUUUACACAUUCCACUGUUGCCUCUGGGUAUCCGUGUACAUACCUUUUGAAUGGCAUGACCAGUAUCAGAAAUCUGUAUGUUUGUGCAGAAACAGGAACAAAGACUUCUCCUAGUAAAUGGCACAUGAGCAGUUUGUGUGCUGGAUGUAUCCUUGGUAGAUACUCAAAGAGUGAACAAUUACAUUUAUUACAAUUUAUGGGAGAUCCCACUCCUGCAGAGAUAGGAAUAUGGUUCAGACUCGCUCUCCUGUAUCUGAGAUUCAUAGUGAAACAUGUUAAUCAGUGUAAUGCAGUACCUAUCAAGUCAGGCUAAUGCAUUGAUGUAUGGGAUAAUCUAAGUGAAUUUGAACUUGGGUUUCCAAUAUAGGCAGCUCACUCAAUCUGAGCCAACACUUGGGAACCAGGGUACCUCACCUGCCAAGCCUUCAGACCUACCUUUUCACUUACUAUUUAAAAAUAUAUCCUAACCUGGUUUUCAAAUCCCUGAUUUUUACCUGCAUACCUUUCCUAAAGGCAGGCCUAUUUUAGAGGUGUGAAUGAUGGUUGAUGGGAUGUGUUAUUGCCUGCAGCGUAGAAUGUCAUUGUGAAGAAUAAAGAAGAAAAAAAACCACUAUCUGCUCUCUUUUUAAUCAUUUACCCUAAAGGAAAAUGUACAGAAGGCAGACCGAGCUCACAUGUACCCACGAAGUAAAGCAGCUGCUGUAGAUAUGAGGUUGGAUGCUGAUGCCAGCAAACUUUCUAGUUCUAGCAGUGAACACCACUGGAUAGGGCAGGGUUGAUGAGGGACCCAGUGUUGCUCUAAGAUCCUUGUAUCAAACAGCCCCCUUAAAUUCAAUUCAUUGUUAGACUCAUCAGCCAACCUUUCCUGAAUGUCAGAAAUUUGGUCUACUCUUUAAAGGAAGAAUCUCCCAAGCAGUUUUGUGGUGUGUUGUGGUUUUUGUGAUGUUGAUUAAUGACCGAUACUGUGGAGGCGAUUCUUUACAUUAGAUUUAUGUUCCUCUGUGAUUUCUCAAUAGGAGCCCAAUCCCUUUCUGAGCUUGACACUGUAGGCCGACUCGCUGCUGUGGAGCCCUACUCCUCCCCUUAGCAAGGACCAGAGCCGGCUCAGCAGCUCAGGACGAGGCCUGCCCCCGCUCCACUUCCCCCCACAGCUGGUCCUCUUUGACGAGGCUUUGAGGGACAUCACCGUGGGGAUACCCAUCAUGACUGAGCAGGACUCAGCAGGGAACAUGGACACAGUUGCCCGACAUGGGGCCCAGCGGUUGGAGAUCAAGGCCAUGGAGCGCAGGGAAAUGGAAAAGCAGCUGAAGAUUGAGAACCUGUUUGUGAUGUUGCAGCAGAGAUCAGCUCAGUCCAACAUGCCCAUCACAGAGUCAUGCAAUAGCUUUCCAAGCAGCAGUGCUUUGUUGUUGUGUAGGCUGCUGACCUGGACACCCUGAAGCAGUCGUCACGCUUGGUCCAUUACUGUGCCACCCCCCUGCUGUUCGACCCUGUGUUCCGCAGACAAAUUCAGGAGGAGCUGACUGCCAACCUCCAAAGAUGCCAACUGCUACGACUUGGCCAUAGCAGCUACUAUUUUGGCGGUUCUGCUACGGCGCUACGUUGAAAGGGUAUAAUACUACGAUUUUAUUAAAUAAAUAAAUAAAUGUUGGAUAUUCCCUGAAUGUUUAUGAAAUAUUAUUUCAAUACCACGUGUGUGUUUUCUUGUUAAUUUUUUAUAAUGAAUUUCUUUGUUCUUAAUACUGUAUUUCACUGACAGUCUAUUGUGGCAUUGUAGCUGUACUAUUGUUAUUUUGAUAGUUAUUUUUUAUAAAGUUUUGAGUAUUUCAGUCCAGGUUUGAUCGCACUUAUGAGAUCAGUAAAACACUCGUCAUUACUAAUAUUUAAAUCCAGAAUAAAUAGAAUUCCAAAUAAAAAAAUCAGUGUUGAAGAAUUUUUUGUGUGUGUUUUUUUUUUAUGAAUGCCAUUUUGUUUACAAUUCCUAAAAUUAUAGAUUGAACAGCACAAAUUAGGUAAUUGGCUUGCCAGAGCCUAAGAACCUUCAAGAAGCUGCCUCAGAUUUACAGAGAGCACACAGAGCUGGGAAGCAAGCCUCCCAGGGAGUGUGCAGAGAGGGACGGGUCUAGGGAGGCAGAGCUGGACUUGUGGGUGGUGGGGGACAACUCAAGCGAGUUUUACUCAGGUGGGCCGCAAGUGAUGAUGACACCUGGACUGUUCUAUACCUCUCCUCUCUUCCCUCUUCUGGCCUCGGAGGUGACCUCUGCACGGAACCACAUCCUGAGAAAGCGGGCAGCAGGCGAGGGGACACUGGCGAAGGUUCUUCCGUGGGGAGCACCUGGCCUCGGACAAACUGAAACUGAGCAAGUGGACCUUCACUGAGUUGGAGGAGCUGCUGGACGCUGUGCAGAGCCGUUCUGUGGGCGAUAUCGACGCUCAACUGAGUUUUAAGGUGUUUUUCAGAGAGCCAUUGCCGGCCCAGCCUCAAACUAGCAACAUCCCAUUGCCACAGCUGGUCUCCAUGUACCACCAUCUGCAGUCGGUCAUCAAUACAGCCUGCUUCAAUCUCUGGACAGGGCUACUGUAGAGUCUGAUCUGUAAUAUAGAUUGCUUCAAUUUUUAGACAAUACUGCUAUGGAAACUGGUGCAACCUACUGUUGGGACGGGGUCCAUAAUACAGACCGAAUGCUGCUUAAUAAGGCUGUUCUAGAAGCACCAAUGCAAACUGCCUUAUAUAAACGUAAUCAUUUCCAUGCCAAUUGUAGCACAAGGCACUCACCAUGUUUCUCCUGACCAGGUUAUUCAGCACAAUAAACUGUGUUGUCUUCUGAUGCUGAAAGUUUCAUAUCUUUGUAGAGGUUUUCUGCCAGUUCUGAACAUUUAGAAUGCAGCUUUCAGCUCAGCUCUGUAUCCUUCAAGCCUCCACAUUGUACAGAGUAACUAGAACAUAGUUAACUAGGAUUGAGAGGGUUGACAGUCAAAUGGUUAACAUUCUUCGAUAAAGCUGAUGUUUCCUCUCAGCGAGAAUCACAACUGGAGUUAAAGAGUAAGUAGCGGGGUGCCAAAAAAAUAUAUAGCAUUAUACGUCCCAAUCUUCAUAUACAUUAAAAUUGGUUUCAUAGUAGGAUUCUAGACCUGUCGCCUUAAGCAACAAAAUCCAUUGAUAUGGAAGUAGUUUGGAAAAAUGGGAAGGAUUCCAAUAGUUCCGUUAAGAGCCUUUGAUUUUAAUAAUUUUUCAUACUGUUUAACACUUCAGCGCUUCGUUACCUAAUUUCCAGACCGCGAACAACUCUUCAUUCCAAAAGUGCCUGUGUUUAACAAUUCAAUUUGGAAGAGACAUUAUUAUUGUACUGACCUUGGAGUUGAAUCUUUGAAAACCCUAUUAAAUUGCUGAUUUGAUUCAGUCUGUGGCGUUGCUAACUCUGGUGUUCAGUAUUCAGGGGGGGUGUCAGAGACAGGGCCCACUCUCUAGAUGUGCCUUAGUUGCAAUUCUUGUCCUGCCACUGUAGUGUUCUUCCAUGACUGAUGCAGAACACACACCUACACCAUUUUGCAGUUUGUCAUAGUUGUUGUAAUCAAAAUUUCCCAUGACUCACACUAAUUCAUAAAGAAGGAAACAGGUUUUCCUAACAUGUGUUAAGACUACAAACUGUGAUAAAUAAUUGUUUUGACCAGAGUGUUUGAUUUAAUCAAAGCAUGGCACUGUUGAAGUAACAUAUGUUUUAUUUUUUUUUAAAUCAUCAUUAUUAUUUACUUUAAAGUUGUCAACACUGGGCAUGUAAAAAAGAAAACAUCUAUUUAUGUACUUAAAUGCAAAUUUAUUUGAAAAUAAACUUCUGAUUUGGGUGAUUUAAGAUAAAUGUGGCUGGACAUAUGUUUUACAUGUAUAUUAUGUAUAUAUAAAUAAAUACACUUUACA